AAACUCAAAGGAAUUGACGGGGACCCGCACAAGCGGUGGAUGAUGUGGAUUAAUUCGAUGCAACGCGAAAAACCUUACCUGCUCUUGACAUGUCUGGAAUCCCUGAGAGAUUAGGGAGUGCCCGAAAGGGAAUCAGAACACAGGUGCUGCAUGGCUGUCGUCAGCUCGUGUCGUGAGAUGUUGGGUUAAGUCCCGCAACGAGCGCAACCCUUGUCAUUAGUUGCCAUCAUUAAGUUGGGCACUCUAAUGAGACUGCCGGUGACAAACCGGAGGAAGGUGGGGAUGACGUCAAGUCCUCAUGGCCCUUAUGAGCAGGGCUUCACACGUCAUACAAUGGUCGGUACAGAGGGUUGCCAAGCCGCAAGGUGGAGCUAAUCUCAGAAAGCCGAUCGUAGUCCGGAUCGUACUCUGCAACUCGAGUACGUGAAGUCGGAAUCGCUAGUAAUCGCGGAUCAGCAUGUCGCGGUGAAUACGUUCCCGGGUCUUGUACACACCGCCCGUCACACCAUGGGAGUGGGGGAUACCAGAAGUGGGUAGACUAAC
This 543-nucleotide ribosomal RNA is filed under the name uncultured bacterium. RNAcentral describes it as "bacterial SSU rRNA". It matches the Rfam family "Bacterial small subunit ribosomal RNA", at positions 897 to 1439 of the family's 1533-position model. The record is from RNAcentral.